RNAcentral lists this transfer RNA (75 nucleotides) under Patescibacteria group bacterium. RNAcentral describes it as "tRNA-Pro". It matches the Rfam family "tRNA". From Rfam's summary of the family: Transfer RNA (tRNA) molecules are approximately 80 nucleotides in length. Their secondary structure includes four short double-helical elements and three loops (D, anti-codon, and T loops). The record is from RNAcentral.
CGGGGUGUGGCCUAGUUGGCUUAAGGCGCACGCUUUGGGAGCGUGAGAUCCUGGGUUCGAGUCCCAGCACCCCGA